GAUGAACGCUGGCGGCGUGCCUAAUACAUGCAAGUCGAGCGAACAGACGAGGAGCUUGCUCCUCUGACGUUAGCGGCGGACGGGUGAGUAACACGUGGAUAACCUACCUAUAAGACUGGGAAAACUUCGGGAAACCGGAGCUAAUACCGGAUAAUAUAUUGAACCGCAUGGUGCAAUAGUGAAAGACGGUUUUGCUGUCACUUAUCGAUGGAUCCGCGCCGCAUUAGCUAGUUGGUAAGGUAACGGCUUACCAAGGCAACGAUGCGUAGCCGACCUGAUAGGGUGAUCGGCCACACGGGAACUGAGACACGGUCCAGACUCCUACGGGAGGCAGCAGUAGGGAAUCUUCCGCAAUGGGCGAGAGCUUGACGGAACAGCGCCGCGUGAGUGAUGAAGGUCUUCGGAUCGUAAAACUCUGUUAUUAGGGAAGAACAAAUGUGUAAGUAACUAUGCACGUCUUGACGGUACCUAAUCAGAAAGCCACGGCUAACUACGUG
RNAcentral lists this ribosomal RNA (497 nucleotides) under uncultured bacterium. RNAcentral describes it as "partial 16S ribosomal RNA". It matches the Rfam family "Bacterial small subunit ribosomal RNA", at positions 28 to 507 of the family's 1533-position model. The record is from RNAcentral.